GGACCUACGGGCGCAGCAGUGGGGAAUAUUGCACAAUGGGGGAAACCCUGAUGCAGCAACGCCGCGUGAGUGAAGAAGUAUUUCGGUAUGUAAAGCUCUAUCAGCAGGGAAGAAAAUGACGGUACCUGAAGAAGAAGCCCCGGCUAACUACGUGCCAGCAGCCGCGGUAAUACGUAGGGGGCAAGCGUUAUCCGGAUUUACUGGGUGUAAAGGGGGCGCAGACGGCGAUGC
RNAcentral lists this ribosomal RNA (231 nucleotides) under uncultured bacterium. RNAcentral describes it as "partial 16S ribosomal RNA". It matches the Rfam family "Bacterial small subunit ribosomal RNA", at positions 335 to 584 of the family's 1533-position model. The record is from RNAcentral.